CCAGACAUUUGGCUGGGCUUGGAGGUGGGGGGAGUGCAGAGAGUGCCAAGCAGGCCUGCUUGGUGUCGGGCUGGUUUAGAAUGACCCCCGGAGAGGGAUUUUCUCAGUGUUACUGGAGGGUUUUUCUAUCUCUCUCCCCCUUUACACGAAAGCCGCCUGCUGAACCCAUCUGGCUCCAGUUUCCCAUCCCUGCUGGGCGGAGACCCAAGAAGGGAAAUGUUCAGUGCCUGAAAGAAAACUUUUCAUGCUUGUUGCCUGCCGGGAGGGAAGGGAGCGGGGCCGGGUGGGGCCACUGGCUCAGGGCCUAGAGAACAGCAGGUGUCCUUGUGAAGAGAUGUACCAACCCAGGCCUAACAGAAGAUAUACCAAUCUAGGCCGAACAGGAGAUGUACCAGCCCAGGCCUAACACAGAAAAGUACCAACUCAGGCCUAGCUGUACCAACCCAGGCCUAACAGGAGAUGUACCAACACAGGCCUAACAGGAGAUGUACCAGCCCAGGCCUAACAGAAGAUGUACCAACCCAGGCCUAACACAGAGAAGUACCAACUCAGGCCUAACUGUACCAACUCAGGCCUAACAGAAGAUGUACCAACACAGGCCUAACAGGAGAUGUACCAGCCCAGGCCUAACAGAAGAUGUACCAACCCAGGCCUAACACAGAGAAGUACCAACUCAGGCCUAACUGUACCAACUCAGGCCUAACAGAAGAUGUACCAACCCAGGCCUAACACAGAGAAGUACCAACUCAGGCCUAACUGUACCAACUCAGGCCUAAUAGAAGAUGUACCAACCCAGGCCUAACACAGAGAAGUACCAACUCAGGCCUAACUGUACCAACCCAGGCCUAACAGGAGAUGUACCAACACAGGCCUAACAGGAGAUGUACCAGCCCAGGCCUAUCAGAAGAUGUACCAACCCAGGCCUAACACAGAGAAGUACCAACUCAGGCCUAACUGUACCAACCCAGGCCUAACAGAAGAUGUACCAGCCCAGGCCUAACACAGAGAAGUACCAACUUGGGCCUAACUGUACCAACCCAGGCCUAACAGAAGAUGUACCAGCCCAGGCCUAACACAGAGAAGUACCAACUCAGGCCUAACUGUACCAACACAGGCCUAACAGGAGAUGUACCAGCCCAGGCCUAUCAGAAGAUGUACCAACCCAGGUCUAACAUUGAGAUGUAUCAGCCCAGGUUUAACACAGAAUUACCAAUUCAGGCCUAACUGUACCAACCCAGGCUUAACAAGAGAUGUACCAACCCAGGCUUAACAAGAGAUGUACCAGCCCAGACCUAACAGAAGAUGUACCAGCCCAGACCUAACAGAAGAUGUACCAAUCUAGGUCUAACAUUGAGAUGUACCAACCCAGGCCUAACACAGAGAAGUACCAACUCAGGCCUAACUGUACCAACCCAGGCCUAACAGGAGAUGUACCAGGCCAGGCCUAACACAGAGAAUUACUAACUCAGGUCUAACUGUACCAACCCAGGCCUAACAAGAGAUGUACCAACCCAGGCUUAACAAGAGAUGUACCAACCCAGGCUUAACAAGAGAUGUACCAGCCCAGACCUAACAGAAGAUGUACCAACCUAGGUCUAAUAUUGAGAUGUACCAACCCAGGCCUAACACAGAGAAGUACCAACUCAGGCCUAACUGUACCAACACAGGCCUAACAGGAGAUGUACCAGCCCAGGCCUAUCAGAAGAUGUACCAACCCAGGCCUAACACAGAGAAGUACCAACUCAGGCCUAACUGUACCAACCCAGGCCUAACAGGAGAUGUACCAGGCCAGGCCUAACACAGAGAAUUACUAACUCAGGUCUAACUGUACCAACCCAGGCCUAACAAGAGAUGUACCAACCCAGGCUUAACAAGAGAUGUACCAACCCAGGCUUAACAAGAGAUGUACCAGCCCAGACCUAACAGAAGAUGUACCAACCUAGGUCUAAUAUUGAGAUGUACCAACCCAGGCCUAACACAGAGAAGUACCAACUCAGGCCUAACAGAAGAUAUACCAACCCAGGCCUAACAAGAGAUGUACCAACCCAGGCUUAACAAGAGAUGUACCAACCCAGGCUUAACAAGAGAUGUACCAGCCCAGACCUAACAGAAGAUGUACCAACCUAGGUCUAAUAUUGAGAUGUACCAACCCAGGCCUAACACAGAGAAGUACCAACUCAGGCCUAACAGAAGAUAUACCAACCCAGGCCUAACACAGAGAAGUACCAACUCAGGCCUAACUGUACCAACCAGGCCUAACAGAAGAUAUACCAACCCAGGCCUAACAUAAAGAUGCACCAACUCAGGCCUAACACAAAGAAGUAUCAACCCAGGCCUAACUUGAAGAUGUACCAACCCAGUUCUAAUAGGAAAAAGCCUCCCACAAGAGUAGAAACAGUUGGAAAGUCUUCCAUAAAACCUUUUGUUUUGAUUCA
Monodelphis domestica (gray short-tailed opossum) is the source of this 2435-nucleotide long non-coding RNA. RefSeq lists it as uncharacterized. Lineage: Eukaryota; Metazoa; Chordata; Mammalia; Didelphimorphia; Didelphidae. The record is from RefSeq and is a predicted model, not a curated record.